UACGUAGGGUGCAGGCGUUAAUCGGAAUUACUGGGCGUAAAGCGUGCGCAGGCGGUCUAUUAAGACAGGUGUGAAAUCCCCGGGCUUAACCUGGGAACUGCGCUUGUAACUGAUAGGCUUGAGUGUGGCAGAGGGGGGUGGAACUCCAGGUGUAGCAGUGAAAUGCGUAGAUAUCUGGAGGAACACCGAUGGCGAAGGCAGCCCCCUGGGCUAACACUGACGCUCAUGCACGAAAGCGUGGGGAGCAAACAGG
This 253-nucleotide ribosomal RNA is filed under the name uncultured bacterium. RNAcentral's name for it is "partial 16S ribosomal RNA". It matches the Rfam family "Bacterial small subunit ribosomal RNA", at positions 524 to 776 of the family's 1533-position model. The record is from RNAcentral.